RNAcentral lists this ribosomal RNA (484 nucleotides) under uncultured bacterium. RNAcentral's name for it is "partial 16S ribosomal RNA". It matches the Rfam family "Bacterial small subunit ribosomal RNA", at positions 30 to 507 of the family's 1533-position model. The record is from RNAcentral.
AUUGAACGCUGGCGGCAGGCCUAACACAUGCAAGUCGAGCGGAUGAAGGGAGCUUGCUCCUGGAUUCAGCGGCGGACGGGUGAGUAAUGCCUAGGAAUCUGCCUGGUAGUGGGGGAUAACGUCCGGAAACGGGCGCUAAUACCGCAUACGUCCUGAGGGAGAAAGUGGGGGAUCUUCGGACCUCACGCUAUCAGAUGAGCCUAGGUCGGAUUAGCUAGUUGGUGGGGUAAAGGCCUACCAAGGCGACGAUCCGUAACUGGUCUGAGAGGAUGAUCAGUCACACUGGAACUGAGACACGGUCCAGACUCCUACGGGAGGCAGCAGUGGGGAAUAUUGGACAAUGGGCGAAAGCCUGAUCCAGCGAUGCCGCGUGUGUGAAGAAGGUCUUCGGAUUGUAAAGCACUUUAAGUUGGGAGGAAGGGCAGUAAGUUAAUACCUUGCUGUUUUGACGUUACCAACAGAAUAAGCACCGGCUAACUUCGUG